This is a non-coding RNA of Xyrichtys novacula (pearly razorfish), 2030 nucleotides long. The record is from the annotation of a GenBank genome assembly. NCBI's taxonomy places the organism in Eukaryota, Metazoa, Chordata, Actinopteri, Labriformes, Labridae.
UAACGAAGUCUGAAACCCCCUAAUGCUAAUGUCCUCUCCAAUGUCCAAUGAUCUGACCUCCUGACAGCACACUCAGUCAAAUUAAAGUCACUCCCCAGAAGUCAUCUCCUCACAGUCGUUCCCAAUCAGUGCUGCACCAUCAUAUGUGUCAAUAUGUAGAUUAUAAGAGAGGGGAGGAGGCUGGAUCCAUCCACCCGGCUGCUGCACAGAGUGGACCUUUGUAAAAAGCCAGCUAAAUUGACAGUGAAUCAUCCUGACAGAUCAGCGUCUUGCUCUUUCUUUGGUCAUUAUAUCAGCAGAUGAAUGGCGAGGCGGGGAGUGAGGACGGCAGACAGAGAGUAAUGGGAGCGUUUCCAUUCAGGAGAUGUGUUAUGUCUUCCUGUGCUCGGUGUGCUCCUUCUGACUGGUACGGUUAUCAAUGAAACUAAUUGCCAGUUUCAACUUUAAUCAAUUCCUCUCUGUUGGACACAUUUUUUCAUGCACUAUUGCAUUAUGUGAGUGAUCUAGUCCUGGGUGCACAUCCGUGAACUCAGUAAUUCAGGUAUGAAUGUGGAAUGGGGACAUUUGCACAUUGAUCGACUGGAACACCAAAUUAUUUGCUUGGGGAUGAAUAAUCUUUGGAUAUUUUGUCAAUUUCUACCUAUUAGACCUUCAUAUCAUGAACAUACAGGCUGGUGUCUCCUCGUGGUUUUAAAUACAACUGGAAAGUCAAUCCAUUUACUUGACAGCAGGGGUCCAUUUGGAAUAAAGAAACCACUGACAGCUAACAAAUCAUGCCCAGGUUUGUGAUUGUUUCCCCCGUUUUUAUAUGAAUAAGUAAUAGAGGAGUGUUAAAUCAACCUUGGUUUUCUUUGCAAAAUGAUUAAAUACAACCCCAGCCUGUAGAAUAAGAACAGCGUCUACUUCUAAGCUGCUUUGUUCUUUGUACUAAAAUUAGAGAGUUUGUUUUAUAAAACAAAGUUUGAAUCAAAUUCUAUUUUUAGCUUGGCAGCACCACUAUAGCAGUGUCAUGAAGUUAGUUUAGUACCUUGGGCUGGACUGGAUGUCAAAGAUACUCCAUUCAUUUUCUAUUUACAUUGUCUUCAGAGGAUAAACAGGCUUUGGUGCAGCAUUAUAAUUUCUGUUUAUUUUAUACUAAGUGUCAACACCUACUGGAUUAAUUACCAUUAGGUUUUUCUACUGACAAUCAUGGUUCCCAGAGGAUUAUCUUUAUGCCUUUGAGUAUCUUUUCCCUUCUUGAAGUUGACAUUUGUGUAUUUCCGUAAAGAGUCUCCCUAUUGGAGAGGUUGCCAUGAAGACAUUCAUAAUCCCCAGAGGAUGACUCUUAAUGAUUUCUGUGAUCCCCGGACUCCUCCACCACUGAAUUCAAAAGGUCAUAUGUGCCAUAAUCCAGCAAAUUAUCCUAGCAUUGAGCAUUUGGUGCAGUGGCGUUACUUCCUUUCCUAACAGUAUUGAUCCCAAGAUGAUGAACCUUGGUGACUUCUCCCAAAGCAUGACCACAAAAUGAAGCCAAUAUUUGUGAUUUUUUUCAAAGAUUAUUUUUUAUUUUUUGCAUUUAUGAAACAAGAAAUAUGGGGAUGGAGUGGUGGAAGACAUACACCAAAUCACUGGGAGUGUUUCCCCUGUAAAUGGGGCACCCACUUUGCCAUCUUAGCUUAACUGGGAUCCCUGUAUUUGUGAUUUAGUUGAAUAAUUCAAGCAACUAUCAGAAAUUGUGGUUUGGUUAUCUUACGUUUUGGUACAUUCAAAGAAGAUACCAUUUUCUCUGGUGCCAAAAUUAGAUCAUUUUAUAUCAUCAUAAAACGGCAAAAUGUUAGCAUGUCAUCAGAAUAACCUAAGAUAGUUAACAAGGUAAUCAUAAAACCUGCUGAACACCACUAUGUCAGUACUGAGAAGCACAAUGGCAUGCAAAUAGAAGCAUUUCGCUCAAGGCAACACUGUAGCCAAGUCCAGCCCCACAGAGAUGCUUAACCUUGGCUCUAAGUCUUGUAUAUCAUUACUUCAUCAUAUCCCUAUGGCAACCAGCAACC